UACGUAGGGGGCGAGCGUUGUCCGGAAUUAUUGGGCGUAAAGAGCGUGUAGGCGGUUCGGUAAGUCUGCCGUGAAAACCUGAGGCUCAACCUCGGGCGUGCGGUGGAUACUGCCGGGCUAGAGGACGGUAGAGGCGAGUGGAAUUCCCGGUGUAGCGGUGAAAUGCGCAGAUAUCGGGAGGAACACCUAUGGCGAAGGCAGCUCGCUGGGACGUUACUGACGCUGAGACGCGAAAGCCAGGGGAGCGAACGGG
Molecule: ribosomal RNA, 253 nt
Filed under: uncultured bacterium
Lineage: Bacteria
Description: partial 16S ribosomal RNA
Rfam family: Bacterial small subunit ribosomal RNA
Source: RNAcentral